Molecule: long non-coding RNA, 1045 nt
Filed under: Olea europaea subsp. europaea
Lineage: Eukaryota; Viridiplantae; Streptophyta; Magnoliopsida; Lamiales; Oleaceae
Source: RNAcentral
GUGAAAAAUAACAAGGAAAAUUAAAAUCACUUAUUUUGCCAAAUAUUCUUUAAAGUUACUUUUAAACUAUAAUAGAACUUGCAACACGAUUAGAAUGCAGUAAGUGGUCAGUACAUUCAGAAAAUCCUUUUCUGCAAGUCUUGAUGAGAAAAUUCCAAGUCAACUACGGUGUUGAACCUUGAUGAUGCAAACAAUUAAUUUUCAAAUAGAAUUGAAUCAGAGCUAGAAAAUUUGUUCUCUCUCAUCUUCUUCAUUUUUUUAAUCAUGAUUUCUUCAAGAGAGCUCUGUAGGGAUGCUGCCAGGUUUUUUGUUUAUAUCUCUGUGUUUCUUCAUGUAUUUAACCUCAACUUUGUGUACUCUAAAUGCCCAAAAAGUUUCCAGUGUGGACAUCUUGGCAAUUUGGAAUUUCCUCUGGCCGAUUAUUCACAACCCGAAUGUGGGUUGUUCACGGCUGAGUGCAAUAAUAUCUCGAAACCAAUAAUUCACCUGGAUACUGAAAGGUUAUCGCCAUCCUAUGAGAUUGUGUCCAACAUAUCUACCAACCAAGUAUUGGUUCGAAACCCUGUUCUUGAAGGUCUCUUGAGAAGUAACAGCUGCAGUUUAUUCCCCGAACUCUAUAUUCCACACACUCAUUCUAUUACGAUCACAUUCUUCCCCAAUAUCACUUUGACCAGAUGCCCCAAAAAUAGGAACUCCGAUGACGAUGAGAUACGUCGUUUACAUGGAUCUUACAGAAACUACACGGGCUGCGAUUUCGUCGAUAUAUAUUACGCCAACUCAAAUGAAAGUCUUCCGCCACCAAUUCCGAAAGAUUGUUCUGCAAUUUACUUGCCACUCAAAUUACAGCCCAUAUCAGAUUCAGCUGACUUGUUCGAACAGAUAGGCACCGAUUAUAAUAUCCACUGGAAUCUAUCUGAUGAUUGUAUUAAUUGCCACCGAGAGGGAGGACGUUGUACAGAUGACGCUAAUAAUAAAUUUAGAUGUGAAAAAGUAUCAUCGCCCUUUGAACUUGAUUUUUCAUUAUUGAAUAUUAAAAUUUUUGAAU